AAAAUAUAUUAUACCAUGAAAUCAUAGUUGAAAAUAUAUAUAUGAAUAUGUUUAUUUGUAUUGAUAUAUUAAAUUAUGAGUUAAAUGAAAAAAAUCAAAUUUCUCUCAAAUAUAUAUUUUUUCCUUUUCUAUUUUUACAUAAACAAAACAAAUAUAAAAUAAUAGGUCAGUUGGACAUUAAUAAUAAUUUAGUUAUUAAAUCAAAAAAAAAAGAAUCUGUUAAUAAGAAGAAAAUAUGUUUUUGCAAUGGUUAUAAUAAUUAUACAUAUGACAAAGAACUAAACUAUCAAACAAAUAAUAACAUAUCAAAUAUAAUAAAUGAAAACAAAAAAAUGUUGAAAGACGGAGUUGAGAAUGUAUUAUGUGGCAGUCCCGAUAGUUGUCUUGAUGCGAAUGUAAGUAUGGGUGAAUAUAAAGGCUAUUGUAUUAGUAAAAGACAGGAAGUGAAAAAUGAAACGAAAAAUGAAACGAAACGUGAAACACACGAUGUUGCUUAUACGGGUGAAGUCUGUAAACCCAAUUGUGAGACCAUCAAGUUGAAUCAUAAAAGUACCCAUUGUAACAACUUAAAACACAAACACAAAAAGCAAAAUAAAUACAAUAAAAAAUGUCCUUGUAGCAAAGAAAUGAACGGAUUUGAGUAUAAAAAAAAAAUUAAAAAUUUGUUUUUAAAAAUAUGUCGUAAAAAUAAUAAAAAAUAUAAUAUUUAUAAAAAAAUUGACUAUGAAUAUUUGAAAAAAAUAUAUAAUUAUUGUCACAGUUUUUGUUGUAAAGAAAAACAAAAAUAUAGAAAAGAAAUUGUAUUAUAUUUACACAGGUUAACUAAAAAAAUAUUAUUAAAAGUGUAUAAACGAGUUAAUAAUUAUUUAAAUAUUUCAAUUUUAUCAUUAAAUAUAUUAACUUAUAUAUUAUAUUUAAUACCUAGAAAAAUGUUUAUCCGUUCUUAUAUCCCUUGGCUAUUAAACAAAACAAUAAAUGUAAAACGUUGCUAUACAUAUUUAAAUAUUCCCUUGUGUAUUUUAAAUUAUAAUGGAUUUCUUUUUUUAGAAACUAUGUUAAAACUUAUAUUAAAAAUGAUAGAACAAAAAGUUACUUCAUUACAUACUUAUGUUUUAUCAUUCUUACGUUUGUGUUCUUUUCCUUUGUAUAUUUAUAUACAAUUUGAUAUAUUAUUAUCACACACACUUAUAGUUACUUCAUUAUAUGUACUACACCAGUUGGUUAUGUACGAUCCGAAUUUUUUGGCUACGGGUAAAACCAAAAUGAUUGAUCAUGACAGUAUUAGUGGUUCUAGUAGUGGUAAUAAUAGUAAUGACAAAAUAAGGACAAAUAACAAAAUAAAUCAACAAGUUUCUACUAAUAAUAUUCACAAUAAUGGUAAUGUGAUUAGUAUGGAUAAAUCAAGUGCGACUAAUAACAUAGGCAACCGGUUAAAAAGUGGUAUAGGAACAAAUAACAAUACAGAUAAUCGUUUGGAAAGCAGCACAAGUGGGGCGUGGGAUGCUUGUACAUAUGCAAUUGCUGGAACAGAAGACGACUCAAGAUGUACUAAUGAUAUGACCGAAUUGUCUGAUGAACGAAAAGAACUACUAGAAAAUAUAUUUUUAAAAACAAUUUUAUUAUUUUUAAAAAAAUCUAUUUAUUUUAAAACCAUGUUUCAUUGUGCUAACAUAAAUGAAAAAGAAGAAAUGGUAGUUGAUAAUAAAAGAAUACAAAUAGUUUUAAAAACAUGGAAUAUGGAUAAUGGAGAAAUAAAAAAAGAGAGGAAAAAAAAAAAUUAUUUUCAUAUGGAAAACAAAAUAUUAUAUUUACAUGAUAAUUUAUUAUUAUAUACUUCAGAUAAUUUAUUAAUAUCUAAUUGUUGCAGAGACAUAAAAAUAUGUCAAAAUAUAAAAAAACAAUAUAUAAACCAAAAUAUUAAUACAAAUAAUUUUUCUUAUGACUUUAUUCAUGUAGAAAAUAAUGAAAUGCAAAAAUUAAGUGUUUAUGCUCAUUUAAUAAUACCCAUAAUUAUGUUCUUAUCUUCCCAUCAUAUUUUAUGGCAGUCUUUAUUGCCCCACAUCCCCUUAUUGACUCAUAUGGCAUUCAUUAAAACAGACAUCAGUUCCUCCUUGUGGAUAAUAUUAAAAGAGUAUUACUUCAGAAAUUUUAUGAAAACAAAAAAAAGUUCAAAAAAACGUACAAAAUAUUUUUGUCAUAAAUUAGUAAAAGUUGAAAAGGUGAAGUGAUGACAAGAGAAAAAAAAAAAAUAUUACGGAAGCAUUUUUUUUUUUUUUUUUUUUUUUUUUUUGUGCACUUAUGGAUG
This 2305-nucleotide long non-coding RNA is filed under the name Piliocolobus tephrosceles (Ugandan red Colobus). RNAcentral's name for it is "lncRNA (ENSPTEG00000013625.1)". Lineage: Eukaryota; Metazoa; Chordata; Mammalia; Primates; Cercopithecidae. The record is from RNAcentral.